RNAcentral lists this ribosomal RNA (432 nucleotides) under uncultured bacterium. RNAcentral's name for it is "partial 16S ribosomal RNA". It matches the Rfam family "Bacterial small subunit ribosomal RNA", at positions 29 to 507 of the family's 1533-position model. The record is from RNAcentral.
ACGAACGCUGGCGGCAUGCCUAACACCUGCAAGUCGAACGAGACCUUCGGGUCUAGUGGCGCACGGGUGCGUAACGCGUGGGAACCUGCCCUUAGGUUCGGAAUAACUCCCCGCAAGGGGUGCUAAUACCGGAUAAUGUCUUCGGACCAAAGAUUUAUCGCCUUUGGAUGGGCCCGCGUUGGAUUAGCUAGUUGGUAGGGUAAAAGCCUACCAAGGCGACGAUCCAUAGCUGGUCUGAGAGGAUGAUCAGCCACACUGGGACUGAGACACAGCCCAGACUCCUACGGGAGGCAGCAGUGGGGAAUAUUGGACAAUGGGCGAAAGCCUGAUCCAGCAAUGCCGCGUGAGUGAUGAAGGCCUUAGGGUUGUAAAGCUCUUUUACCCGGGAUGAUAAUGACAGUACCGGGAGAAUAAGCUCCGGCUAACUCCGUG